This 434-nucleotide ribosomal RNA is filed under the name Aeromonas sp. AE220. Its description in RNAcentral is "bacterial SSU rRNA". It matches the Rfam family "Bacterial small subunit ribosomal RNA", at positions 30 to 456 of the family's 1533-position model. Lineage: Bacteria; Pseudomonadati; Pseudomonadota; Gammaproteobacteria; Aeromonadales; Aeromonadaceae. The record is from RNAcentral.
AUUGAACGCUGGCGGCAGGCCUAACACAUGCAAGUCGAGCGGCAGCGGGAAAGUAGCUUGCUACUUUUGCCGGCGAGCGGCGGACGGGUGAGUAAUGCCUGGGGAUCUGCCCAGUCGAGGGGGAUAACAGUUGGAAACGACUGCUAAUACCGCAUACGCCCUACGGGGGAAAGGAGGGGACCUUCGGGCCUUUCGCGAUUGGAUGAACCCAGGUGGGAUUAGCUAGUUGGUGGGGUAAUGGCUCACCAAGGCGACGAUCCCUAGCUGGUCUGAGAGGAUGAUCAGCCACACUGGAACUGAGACACGGUCCAGACUCCUACGGGAGGCAGCAGUGGGGAAUAUUGCACAAUGGGGGAAACCCUGAUGCAGCCAUGCCGCGUGUGUGAAGAAGGCCUUCGGGUUGUAAAGCACUUUCAGCGAGGAGGAAAGGUUGU